CCUACGGGGGGCUGCAGUGAGGAAUAUUGGUCAAUGGACGAGAGUCUGAACCAGCCAAGUAGCGUGAAGGAUGACUGCCCUAUGGGUUGUAAACUUCUUUUAUAUGGGAAUAAAAUGUUCCACGUGUGGGAUUUUGUAUGUACCAUAUGAAUAAGGAUCGGCUAACUCCGUGCCAGCAGCCGCGGUAAUACGGAGGAUCCGAGCGUUAUCCGGAUUUAUUGGGUUUAAAGGGAACGUAGGUGGAUUGUUAAGUCAGUUGUGAAAGUUUGCGGCUCAACCGUAAAAUUGCAGUUGAAACUGGCAGUCUUGAGUACAGUAGAGGUGGGCGGAAUUCGUGGUGUAGCGGUGAAAUGCUUAGAUAUCACGAAGAACUCCGAUUGCGAAGGCAGUUCACUGGACUGCAACUGACACUGAGGCUCGAAAGUGUGGGUAUCAAACAGGAUUAGAUACCCUUGUAGUC
RNAcentral lists this ribosomal RNA (460 nucleotides) under uncultured bacterium. Its description in RNAcentral is "partial 16S ribosomal RNA". It matches the Rfam family "Bacterial small subunit ribosomal RNA", at positions 338 to 795 of the family's 1533-position model. The record is from RNAcentral.